RNAcentral lists this long non-coding RNA (337 nucleotides) under Lathyrus oleraceus (garden pea). RNAcentral describes it as "Pisum sativum (pea) long non-coding RNA (PSAT_LNC028201)". The record is from RNAcentral. Lineage: Eukaryota; Viridiplantae; Streptophyta; Magnoliopsida; Fabales; Fabaceae.
CCUGCUCAGAGUCAUGAGAAUAUAUUCCAAUUGUGUUGAAAAGCUAAGUUUGGGGUAAAAACCCCAAAAGCUCUCAAAGCCCUAGAAAGUGCAAAAACAAGAGAAAAAGAAAAAGUGAUAAAUCGAGAAAAAUAAAGAAAAAUAAAAAUCAAAUACUCGAUGAUUCAAAAGAAAGAAGCACAGAAAAGGGUAGUCGGUAAAAAUUCAAGAAAUAAGAAGAGUAAACCGAGGAAAUAAAAGAAGCCAACACAUGAUGUAACAUCGACUCUGAGCCAAAAGCCCAUUGUUGUCCUUUUUUUGUGUGAAUCCAUACCCUAACACAAGCCAAGCUACAACC